Molecule: transfer RNA, 73 nt
Filed under: Osmundea sinicola
Lineage: Eukaryota; Rhodophyta; Florideophyceae; Ceramiales; Rhodomelaceae
Description: tRNA-Pro
Rfam family: tRNA
About the family: Transfer RNA (tRNA) molecules are approximately 80 nucleotides in length. Their secondary structure includes four short double-helical elements and three loops (D, anti-codon, and T loops). Further hydrogen bonds mediate the characteristic L-shaped molecular structure. tRNAs have two regions of fundamental functional importance: the anti-codon, which is responsible for specific mRNA codon recognition, and the 3' end, to which the tRNAs corresponding amino acid is attached (by aminoacyl-tRNA synthetases). tRNAs cope with the degeneracy of the genetic code in two manners: having more than one tRNA (with a specific anti-codon) for a particular amino acid; and 'wobble' base-pairing, i.e. permitting non-standard base-pairing at the 3rd anti-codon position.
Source: RNAcentral
UAGGGUAUAAUGUAAUUUGGUAACUUAUUUGCUUUGGGUGCGAAAACUAUAGGUUCAAGUCCUAUUACCCUAA